Podarcis lilfordi (Lilford's wall lizard) is the source of this 122-nucleotide non-coding RNA. NCBI's taxonomy places the organism in Eukaryota, Metazoa, Chordata, Lepidosauria, Squamata, Lacertidae. The record is from the annotation of a GenBank genome assembly.
ACUACUGCUACCAUUUUCCAUUUCUUCUUCCUCUUCCUCUUUGUCAUUUUUCUCAUGGAUUUCUAAAAAAGGACUUUUUUCCCAAAGUCAUUUUUUAGAAGUCCAUGAGAAAAAUGACAAAG